GAUGAACGCUGGCGGCGUGCUUAACACAUGCAAGUCGAGCGAAGCGAUUUUGAUGAAGUUUUCGGAUGGAAUUAAGAUUGACUGAGCGGCGGACGGGUGAGUAACGCGUGGGUAACCUGCCUCAUACAGGGGGAUAACAGUUAGAAAUGACUGCUAAUACCGCAUAAGCGCACGGGACCGCAUGGUCCGGUGUGAAAAACUCCGGUGGUAUGAGAUGGACCCGCGUCUGAUUAGCUUGUUGCGGGUAACGCCACCAAGCGACGAUCAGUAGCCGACCUGAGAGGGUGACCGGCACAUUGGGACUGAGACACGGGCCCAAACUCCUACGGGAGCAGCAGUGGGGAAUAUUGCACAAUGGGCAAAGCCUGAUGCAGCAACGUCCGCGU
RNAcentral lists this ribosomal RNA (386 nucleotides) under uncultured bacterium. Its description in RNAcentral is "bacterial SSU rRNA". It matches the Rfam family "Bacterial small subunit ribosomal RNA", at positions 28 to 402 of the family's 1533-position model. The record is from RNAcentral.